UGGGGAAUAUUGGACAAUGGGCGCAAGCCUGAUCCAGCCAUGCCGCGUGAGUGAUGAAGGCCCUAGGGUUGUAAAGCUCUUUCACCGGUGAAGAUAAUGACGGUAACCGGAGAAGAAGCCCCGGCUAACUUCGUGCCAGCAGCCGCGGUAAUACGAAGGGGGCUAGCGUUGUUCGGAUUUACUGGGCGUAAAGCGCACGUAGGCGGACUAUUAAGUCAGGGGUGAAAUCCCGGGGCUCAACCCCGGAACUGCCUUUGAUACUGGUAGUCUUGAGUUCGAGGGAGGUGGGUGGAAUUCCGAGUGUAGAGGUGAAAUUCGUAGAUAUUCGGAGGAACACCAGUGGCGAAGGCGGCUCACUGGCUCGAUACUGACGCUGAGGUGCGAAGGCGUGGGGAGCAAACAGG
This 404-nucleotide ribosomal RNA is filed under the name Actinomycetes bacterium. RNAcentral's name for it is "Actinobacteria bacterium partial 16S ribosomal RNA". It matches the Rfam family "Bacterial small subunit ribosomal RNA", at positions 355 to 776 of the family's 1533-position model. The record is from RNAcentral. Lineage: Bacteria; Bacillati; Actinomycetota; Actinomycetes.